Ataeniobius toweri is the source of this 96-nucleotide non-coding RNA. The record is from the annotation of a GenBank genome assembly. Lineage: Eukaryota; Metazoa; Chordata; Actinopteri; Cyprinodontiformes; Goodeidae.
GCGCUGGUGGUGUAGUGGUUAAGCGCGCAACCACCUGCAGAGACUACAGUCCUCUGUGAGGCUGUCCCAGGUUCGAGUCCCUGACCCAGCGACCCU